GACGAACGCUGGCGGCGUGCUUAACACAUGCAAGUCGAACGGAAAGGCCCUGCUUUUGUGGGGUGCUCGAGUGGCGAACGGGUGAGUAACACGUGAGUAACCUGCCCUUGACUUUGGGAUAACUUCAGGAAACUGGGGCUAAUACCGGAUAGGAGCUCCUGCUGCAUGGUGGGGGUUGGAAAGUUUCGGCGGUUGGGAUGGAAUUGGUGGUUAUCAGCUUGUUGGUGGGGUAGUUGCUUACCAAGGCUUUGACGGGUAGCCGGCCUGAGAGGGUGACCGGCCACAUUGGGACUGAGAUACGGCCCAGACUCCUACGGGAGGCAGCAGUGGGGAAUAUUGCACAAUGGGCGGAAGCCUGAUGCAGCAACGCCGCGUGCGGGAUGACGGCCUUCGGGUUGUAAACCGCUUUCGCCUGUGACGAAGCGUGAGUGACGGUAAUGGGUAAAGAAGCACCGGCUAACUACGUG
Molecule: ribosomal RNA, 467 nt
Filed under: uncultured bacterium
Lineage: Bacteria
Description: partial 16S ribosomal RNA
Rfam family: Bacterial small subunit ribosomal RNA
Source: RNAcentral